RNAcentral lists this long non-coding RNA (947 nucleotides) under Homo sapiens (human). RNAcentral describes it as "non-protein coding lnc-ORC5-1:1". The record is from RNAcentral. Lineage: Eukaryota; Metazoa; Chordata; Mammalia; Primates; Hominidae.
UUUUGUCACCAUCAGGCCUGCCUUACAAGAGCUCAUGAAGGAAGCACUAAACAUGGAAAGGAACAACUGGUCCCAGCCACUGCAAAAACAUGCCAAAUUGUAAAGACUAUCGAGGCUAGGAAGAAACUGCACAAUUGAAAGAACUAGAGAAGAAAGAGCAUACACAUUCAAAAGCUAGCAGAAGGCAAGAAAUAACUAAGAUGAGAGCAGAACUGAAGGAGAUAGAGACACAAAAAACCCUUCAAAAAAAUCAAACAUCACACACUGGGGCCUAUUGUGGGGUGUGGGGAGAGGGGAGGGAUAGCAUUAGGAGAUACACCUAAUGUAAAUGAUGCAUUAAUGGGUGCAGCACACCAACAUGGCACAUGUAUACAUAUGUAACAGACCUGCACGUUGUGCACACGUACCCUAGAACUUAAAGUAUAAUAAAAAUACAUAAAUACAUAAAAUAAAAAUAUAAAAAAACAGGCUAAAUGAAUGAAUGAAUAACUCAAUGAGCGUUUUUCUGCUGGUUUCCAGCUUCAUCCAUGUCCCUACAAAGGACAUGAACUCAUCAUUUUUUAUGGCUGCAUAGUAUUCCAUGGUGUAUAUGUGCCACAUUUUCUUAAUCCAGUCUAUCAUUGUUGGACAUUUGGGUUGGUUCCAAGUCUUUGCUAUUGUGAAUAAUGCUGCAAUAAACAUACAUGUUCAUGUGUCUUUAUAGCAGCAUGAUUUAUAAUCCUUUGGGUAUAUACCCAGUAAUGGGAUGGCUGGGUCAAAUGGUAUUUCUAGUUCUAGAUCCCUGAGGAAUCGCCACACUGACUUCCACAAUGGUUGAACUAGUUUACAGUCCCACCAACAGUGUAAAAGUGUUCCUAUUUCUCCACAUCCUCUCCAGCACCUGUUGUUUCCUGACUUUUUAAUGAUCGCCAUUCUAACUGGUGUGAGAUGGUAUCUCAUUGUGGUUU